RNAcentral lists this ribosomal RNA (514 nucleotides) under Vibrio sp. 6Bf1S6. RNAcentral describes it as "bacterial SSU rRNA". It matches the Rfam family "Bacterial small subunit ribosomal RNA", at positions 371 to 877 of the family's 1533-position model. The record is from RNAcentral. Lineage: Bacteria; Pseudomonadati; Pseudomonadota; Gammaproteobacteria; Vibrionales; Vibrionaceae.
AUGGGCGCAAGCCUGAUGCAGCCAUGCCGCGUGUGUGAAGAAGGCCUUCGGGUUGUAAAGCACUUUCAGUCGUGAGGAAGGUAGUGUAGUUAAUAGCUGCAUUAUUUGACGUUAGCGACAGAAGAAGCACCGGCUAACUCCGUGCCAGCAGCCGCGGUAAUACGGAGGGUGCGAGCGUUAAUCGGAAUUACUGGGCGUAAAGCGCAUGCAGGUGGUUUGUUAAGUCAGAUGUGAAAGCCCGGGGCUCAACCUCGGAAUAGCAUUUGAAACUGGCAGACUAGAGUACUGUAGAGGGGGGUAGAAUUUCAGGUGUAGCGGUGAAAUGCGUAGAGAUCUGAAGGAAUACCGGUGGCGAAGGCGGCCCCCUGGACAGAUACUGACACUCAGAUGCGAAAGCGUGGGGAGCAAACAGGAUUAGAUACCCUGGUAGUCCACGCCGUAAACGAUGUCUACUUGGAGGGUGUGGCCUUGAGCCGUGGCUUUCGGAGCUAACGCGUUAAGUAGACCGCCUGGG